AGGCUAACCCCCGAUCUCCACCUUCAUCCUGAUCGUCUCCUAAAAGGUCGUAUCCUCCGAUCGUAGCUGAUCGUAACCAUUCAAGUUAACGUGUCAAUUUACACCGACUUCUUUCCGUUCCUCUGCGGAUCGCCGGACUCCUCAGCUGAUCACAAGAGUUCUAUUUUUUCUGGACGCCGGAGCAUGGCGGAUAAAUUCAGCACAGAUUAACCCGUGCUGGAAAGGAAGUCGGGCACAGACACAAAAUAAAACAUCCGGCUUCUUUUCAAAAUAAA
This 275-nucleotide long non-coding RNA is filed under the name Xyrichtys novacula (pearly razorfish). Lineage: Eukaryota; Metazoa; Chordata; Actinopteri; Labriformes; Labridae. The record is from RNAcentral.